UAUCUCUGUAGAGUCUGCAUAUCAAUAAGCGGAGGAAAAGAAACUAACUAGGAUUCCCCUAGUGACGGCGAGUGAAGCGGGAAGAGCUCAAAUUUGAAAUCUUCAAGGUUCUACCUUGACGAAUUGUAGUUUAAAGAAGUGUUUUCUGUUGGAGUUUUGGUAAAAGUUCUUUGGAAUAGGACAUCAUAGAGGGUGAGAAUCCCGUAUUUGACCAUUAUUUCCAGCUUUGUGAUACACUUUCAAAGAGUCGGAUUGUUUGGGAAUGCAGUCCAAAAUGGGUGGUAAAUUUCAUCUAAAGCUAAAUAUUGGCGAGAGACCGAUAGCGAACAAGUACCGUGAGGGAAAGAUGAAAAGAACUUUGAAAAGAGAGUUAAACAGUACGUGAAAUUGUCAAAAGGGAAGCGUUUGACACCAGUGUUGUUUUCUCGAAAAUCAAUUAAAAAAGGCAGGAUUUUGUGUUGUAUUGACUUUAUCAGCUUUCUGCACUCUUUUCUUGUCUUUUUUAAUGCACUUUUCGUUUAACAAGUCAACACCAAUUUCUUUUGUUGUAAAAGGGUCAUUGGAAGGUGGCUUUCACUUCGGUGAAAGUGUUUAUAGCCUUUGGCUUCUGCAAUCGGAGAGAUUGAGGUCUGCAGCGUAGAUCCUUCGGGGCUAGAUACAUUAGUGCUAAGUUAUAGCUUUUUAUAGACAACUUGUUGACUAUGAUAAGUCAUGUAGCUUACUCGUUAUGCCUAUUUUACCUACGCUUAGGAUGUUGACGAUCAGCUGAGCGCG
This 774-nucleotide ribosomal RNA is filed under the name uncultured Neocallimastigales. RNAcentral describes it as "partial large subunit ribosomal RNA". It matches the Rfam family "Eukaryotic large subunit ribosomal RNA", at positions 24 to 627 of the family's 3401-position model. The record is from RNAcentral. Lineage: Eukaryota; Fungi; Neocallimastigomycota; Neocallimastigomycetes; Neocallimastigales.